RNAcentral lists this ribosomal RNA (428 nucleotides) under uncultured bacterium. RNAcentral describes it as "partial 16S ribosomal RNA". It matches the Rfam family "Bacterial small subunit ribosomal RNA", at positions 354 to 796 of the family's 1533-position model. The record is from RNAcentral.
GUGGGGAAUAUUAGGCAAUGGGCGAAAGCCUGACCUAGCAACGCCGCGUGAAGGAAGAAGGCCUUCGGGUUGUAAACUUCUUUUAUGAGGGACGAAGGACGUGGCGGUACCUCAUGAAUAAGCCACGGCUAACUACGUGCCAGCAGCCGCGGUAAUACGUAGGUGGCGAGCGUUGUCCGGAUUUACUGGGUGUAAAGGGCGCGUAGGCGGGAUGGCAAGUCAGAUGUGAAAUACCGGGGCUCAACUCCGGGGCUGCAUUUGAAACUGUCGUUCUUGAGUGAUGGAGAGGCAAGUGGAAUUCCUAGUGUAGCGGUGAAAUGCGUAGAUAUUAGGAGGAACACCAGUGGCGAAGGCGACUUGCUGGACAUUAACUGACGCUGAGGCGCGAAAGCGUGGGGAGCAAACAGGAUUAGAAACCCGAGUAGUCC